Molecule: ribosomal RNA, 253 nt
Filed under: uncultured bacterium
Lineage: Bacteria
Description: partial 16S ribosomal RNA
Rfam family: Bacterial small subunit ribosomal RNA
Source: RNAcentral
UACGUAGGGUGCAAGCGUUGUCCGGAAUUAUUGGGCGUAAAGAGCUCGUAGGCGGUCUGUUGCGUCUGCUGUGAAAACCCGGGGCUUAACCCCUGACUUGCAGUGGAUACGGACAGACUAGAGGUAGGUAGGGGAGAAUGGAAUUCCCGGUGUAGCGGUGAAAUGCGCAGAUAUCGGGAGGAACACCGGUGGCGAAGGCGGUUCUCUGGGCCUUUCCUGACGCUGAGGAGCGAAAGCGUGGGGAGCGAACAGG